Molecule: long non-coding RNA, 2093 nt
Filed under: Homo sapiens (human)
Lineage: Eukaryota; Metazoa; Chordata; Mammalia; Primates; Hominidae
Description: non-protein coding lnc-NPBWR1-10:1
Rfam family: Metazoan signal recognition particle RNA (bases 1798-1914)
Source: RNAcentral
AGUUUGUGGGUUGUCUUUUUUACUUUCUUGAUAGUGUCCUUAGAUGCACAAAACAUUUAUAUUUUAAGUCCAAUUUUUUUAUUUUUCUUUUUUUGCUCGUGCUUUUGGUGUCAUAUCUAAGAAUCCAUUGCCAAAUUUAAUCUCAUGAAUAUUUAUUCCUGUGUUUCCUUCUAAGAGUUUUGUAGCUUUAGGUUUCAGUUUAGGUCUUUAAUCCAUUUUGAAUUAAUUUUUGUAUAUAGUAUAAAGUUAAGAAUUCAAAUUCAUUUUUUCUUUUUCUUUUUUUUUUUUUUGCAUGUGGGUAUCUGGUUGUCCUAGGACCAUUUGUUGAAUGCAUUAUUCUUUUUUAAUUGAAUAGUCUUGGCAUUCUUGUAGAAACUCAAUUGAUCAUAAAUACAUGGGUUUAUUUCCAUUUGAUUCCACUGAUCAUAUGUCUAUACUUAUGCUAGUAUUAAUUUGUCUUGACUAUUGUUGCUUUAUAGUAAGAUGUGAAGUCAAGAAUACUAAGUCCUUGAAUUUUUUAUUUCAAGAUUGUUUUGGCACUUCUGAGCCACUUGAGUUUCCAUACGAAUUUGAGGAUAAACUUGUCAAUUUAUACAAAAAGGUCAGCUGGUAUUCUGAUGUGGAUUGCAUUGGAUAUAUUGAUUGGUUUGGGGGGUAUGAACAUGGGAUGGCUUUACAUUUAUUUAGAUAUUCUUUAAUUUCUUUUACUAAGGAGUUGUAAUUUUUGCAGCAUAAGUUUUACACUCCUUUUGCUAAAUUUAAAGCUAAGCAUUUUUUGAUGUUAUAUAUAAAGUUGUUUUCAUAAUUAUAUUUAAAGAUUGUUAUCAAUAUUUAGAAAUACCAUUGAUUUUUGUAUAUUGGUCUUAUAUCCUGCAACUUUGCUGAAUACAUUCUAAUAAUUUUAAAAUAGAUUAGCUUGGAUUUUUAAAAUUUCACUUGAUAAAUAUCAAAAUAUUAUAUCCAACCAUCAAAAAUAUAAUACUAAAUGUGAUGUGUAUACUAUUUCCAUUUUAUGGAAAAAGGAGGUAGUUUAAAGAAGUUAAGUCACAUCCAAAAUCAUACCUUUUCUUGGGAUGGUAACGAUAGUCUCUAUACACUGGCCUGAAAAUGAUCUCGGGAACACUCGUUACCAGUUUUUAUUUGUACCAUACCCCACAUACACAGCACUGAACACAAUUUUCUUGCCCUGAUGUAUGAAAUGUUAAUCAUCUGAAUUGCUGGAACAAAUUAUCUGAAGUGAAAUCUGAUCUUGUCAUUCUCUGAUUUAAAAUUUUUCUUUCACAUGCUGAAGUCUGUGGAAAUUAGAACUCUUUAGCAUGCCAGUCUACGAUAUGACCUCCUCUUCUUCCCACUCAUCUGGGCUUUGGCCUCUCAUCUUCUCACUUCUCACCAAUUUUUCAAUGUUUUAAAUACGUGAAGCUGCUGCCUUGAUGAUUGCCAUACUUUUGCACAUGCUGUUGUCACUGCCUGCAGCACCUUUUCUCAAACUUUCCCUGCUGAAUCAGAAGCAGGAUUCUUCCUGGAAAUCCAGGUUUGUUAGGUAACCCUCACAUGGUUUCCACAGGAGCCUGUGUGUACCCAAACUGAAAUACCUAUCACUUAUUUCAUUGUCUCCCACGAGGCUGAACUCCCAUGGGAGUAAGGAAGUGGGCCCGGCAUAAUCGUGUUCCAAGUAAACAUCUUUUUGAUGAAUGGAUGACUCUUACUCACCAUUUCCGGUAAGACUGGUGCUCUUCUUAUGACGCCUUGUUGACAGAGUUGUAGACACUACUCGUUGGUAUAAAAUCCCAAUCAGAGGCCGGGCGUGGUGGCUCACGCCUGUAAUCCCAGCACUUUGGGAGGCUGAGGUGGGUGGAUCAUCUGAGGUCAGGAGUUCGAGACCAGCCUGACCAAGAUGGUGAAACCCCAUCUAUACUAAAUACAAAAAAUUAGCCUGGUGUGGUGGUGCAUGCCUGUAAUCCCAGCUACUUGGGAGCCUGAGGCAGGAGAAUUGCUUGAACCCGGGAGGCGGAGUUUGCAGUGAGCCGAGAUUGCUCCACCACACUCCAUCCCGGGCAACAAGAGCGAAACUCUACCUCAAAAAAAAAAAAAAA